Molecule: long non-coding RNA, 522 nt
Organism: Etheostoma cragini (Arkansas darter)
Lineage: Eukaryota; Metazoa; Chordata; Actinopteri; Perciformes; Percidae
Exons: 2
Source: RefSeq, a predicted model, not a curated record
GAACAUGGCGUAAGAACUUAAACCUGAAAAAGCCCCCCAACCAUCACUUUGUGUGCACGUUUCACUUCAUCGACAAGAAGCUAACACAGGAUAACACAUACCCAACGCUUUUUCCGGUUACGAGGAUGCCACCAGAGAAGAGACGCUGACCAAGGACUCGACAUGUCCCAGAUAAGCCUGAUGUGAUGGAGGUUUCUAUGGAGCCAGGUCCGACUUCACAGACAUUACAGGAUGCCCAAACACAGUGGUCAGACCCAGAAAUAGAGAACCACACCUACUCCAAAGGACCUACUAUCGCAUGGUGGUGUGACAACUGCACCAUCCCCUGAGAGGUUGCUGCCUGUUGCAGAUUUUGCAUUGAAAGAUGAUACAGACUGUUGUACACAAGUAUUCCGCUACUUGCAUUUUAAACACUUGUGUCUUGCUUGCAACGUUGCUUGCAAAUCAUCAGCAUUGCCAACAUUGGACCAAAUCCUGUUGACAUUGAUGAAGCUUAGACAGAACUUUGUUAUAGCAGAUUUA